CUUUUACCGAUGCUUUUUUUUUAUGCAUACUAAGAACUUUUAGCCCAUAAAACCGUCAGGGAAUAUUUAAUAUUUUAAAUGAUAGUUUAUACAUAAUUAUUCUCCUUAUAUUAGAACUUUAACUGAGAAAAAAAAUCAUUACUUUUAACUGCAAGAAAAAAAUUAAAUACAUAUAUUAAGAUUGAAUGGAAAAAAAUUAAGUAUUCGAUAAUUCAUUUUCUAACCAGCUAAUUCACCAACAUUUUCUAACUUUAUAACUUGUUAAAAAAAAAAUUCGAAAAGAGGAUGACCCUGAAGGCCAUCCUUGCAACUUCCCGCUAUCUACACUCGAAGCGCGCCGAAGUAAGUUCAGGAGU
Long non-coding RNA from Melitaea cinxia (Glanville fritillary), 356 nucleotides. RefSeq lists it as uncharacterized. The record is from RefSeq and is a predicted model, not a curated record. Lineage: Eukaryota; Metazoa; Arthropoda; Insecta; Lepidoptera; Nymphalidae. The transcript has 3 exons.